UACGUAGGGUACAAGCGUUGUCCGGAAUUAUUGGGCGUAAAGAGCUCGUAGGUGGUCUGUCACGUCUGCUGUGGAAACGCAAGGCUCAACCUUGCGCGUGCAGUGGGUACGGGCGGACUAGAGUGCAGUAGGGGAGUCUGGAAUUCCCGGUGUAGCGGUGAAAUGCGCAGAUAUCGGGAGGAACACCGGUGGCGAAGGCGGUUCUCUGGGCCUUACCUGACGCUGAGGAGCGAAAGCGUGGGGAGCGAACAGG
Molecule: ribosomal RNA, 253 nt
Filed under: uncultured bacterium
Lineage: Bacteria
Description: partial 16S ribosomal RNA
Rfam family: Bacterial small subunit ribosomal RNA
Source: RNAcentral